This 406-nucleotide ribosomal RNA is filed under the name uncultured bacterium. RNAcentral's name for it is "bacterial SSU rRNA". It matches the Rfam family "Bacterial small subunit ribosomal RNA", at positions 355 to 759 of the family's 1533-position model. The record is from RNAcentral.
UAAGGAAUAUUGGUCAAUGGACGCAAGUCUGAACCAGCCAUGCCGCGUGAAGGAUGAAGGUCCUCUGGAUUGUAAACUUCUUUUAUCUGGGACGAAAACGGGAUUUUUAUCUCAAUUGACGGUACCAGAGGAAUAAGCACCGGCUAACUCCGUGCCAGCAGCCGCGGUAAUCCGGAGGGUGCGAGCGUUAUCCGGAUUUACUGGGUUUAAAGGGUGCGUAGGUGGGCUUAUAAGUCAGUGGUGAAAUCUCCGAGCUUAACUUGGAAACUGCCGUUGAUACUAUAGGUCUUGAAUUAUCUGGAGGUAAGCGGAAUAUGUCAUGUAGCGGUGAAAUGCUUAGAUAUGACAUAGAACACCAAUUGCGAAGGCAGCUUACUACAGAUAAAUUGACGCUGAGGCACGAAAG